UACGUAGGGUGCGAGCGUUGUCCGGAAUCAUUGGGCGUAAAGGGCUCGUAGGCGGUUUGUCGCGUCGGGAGUGAAAACACUGGGCUUAACUCAGUGCUUGCUUCCGAUACGGGCAGACUAGAGGUAUGCAGGGGAGAACGGAAUUCCUGGUGUAGCGGUGAAAUGCGCAGAUAUCAGGAGGAACACCGGUGGCGAAGGCGGUUCUCUGGGCAUUACCUGACGCUGAGGAGCGAAAGCGUGGGGAGCAAACAGG
This 253-nucleotide ribosomal RNA is filed under the name uncultured bacterium. Its description in RNAcentral is "partial 16S ribosomal RNA". It matches the Rfam family "Bacterial small subunit ribosomal RNA", at positions 524 to 776 of the family's 1533-position model. The record is from RNAcentral.